GAUGAACGCUGGCGGCGUGCCUAAUACAUGCAAGUCGAGCGAACAGACGAGGAGCUUGCUCCUCUGACGUUAGCGGCGGACGGGUGAGUAACACGUGGAUAACCUACCUAUAAGACUGGGAUAACUUCGGGACACCGGAGCUAAUACCGGAUAAUAUAUUGAACCGCAUGGUUCGAUAGUGAAUGACGGUUUUUGUGUCACUUAUAGAUGGAUCCGCGCCGCAUUAGCUAGUUGGUAAGGUAACGGCUUACCAAGGCAACGAUGCGUAGCCGACCUGAGAGGGUGGUCGGCCACACUGGAACGGGAACACGGUCCAGACUCCUACGGGAGGCAGCAGUAGGGAAUCUUCCGCAAUGGGCGAAAGCCUGACGGAGCAACGCCGCGUGAGUGAUGAAGGUCUUCGGAUCGUAAAACUCUGUUAUGAGGGAAGAACAAAUGUGUAAGUAACUAUGCACGUCUUGACGGUACCUAAUCAGAAAGCCACGGCUAACUACGUG
Molecule: ribosomal RNA, 497 nt
Filed under: uncultured bacterium
Lineage: Bacteria
Description: partial 16S ribosomal RNA
Rfam family: Bacterial small subunit ribosomal RNA
Source: RNAcentral